UAGGCGGCUAUUCAAGUCAGAGGUGAAAGCCCGGGGCUCAACCCCGGAACUGCCUUUGAAACUAGAUAGCUUGAAUCCAGGAGAGGUGAGUGGAAUUCCGAGUGUAGAGGUGAAAUUCGUAGAUAUUCGGAAGAACACCAGUGGCGAAGGCGGCUCACUGGACUGGUAUUGACGCUGAGGUGCGAAAGCGUGGGGAGCAAACAAGAUUAGAUACCCUGGUAGUCCACGCCGCAAACGAUGAUAACUAGCUGUCAGGGCACAUGGUGUUUUGGUGGCGCAGCUAACGCAUUAAGUUAUCCGCCUGGGGAGUACGGUCGCAAGAUUAAAACUCAAAGGAAUUGACGGGGGCCUGCACAAGCGGUGGAGCAUGUGGUUUAAUUCGAAGCAACGCGCAGAACCUUACCAACGUUUGACAUCCCUAUCGCGGAUCGUGGAGACACUUUCCUUCAGUUCGGCUGGAUAGGUGACAGGUGCUGCAUGGCUGUCGUCAGCUCGCGUCGUGAGAUGUUGGGUUAAGUCCCGCAACGAGCGCAACCCUCGCCUUUAGUUGCCAGCAUUUAGUUGGGUACUCUAAAGGAACCGCCGGUGAUAAGCCGGAGGAAGGUGGGGAUGACGUCAAGUCCUCAUGGCCCUUACGCGUUGGGCUACACACGUGCUACAAUGGCGACUACAGUGGGCAGCCACCUCGCGAGAGGGAGCUAAUCUCCAAAAGUCGUCUCAGUUCGGAUCGUUCUCUGCAACUCGAGAGCAUGAAGGCGGAAUCGC
RNAcentral lists this ribosomal RNA (765 nucleotides) under uncultured Sphingomonas sp. RNAcentral's name for it is "bacterial SSU rRNA". It matches the Rfam family "Bacterial small subunit ribosomal RNA", at positions 572 to 1335 of the family's 1533-position model. The record is from RNAcentral. Lineage: Bacteria; Pseudomonadati; Pseudomonadota; Alphaproteobacteria; Sphingomonadales; Sphingomonadaceae.